UCAUCCACCACAGGGGAUGCCUGCCUGGAUUUCUAUAAGUUGUUUGGGAGAGUUGCUUUUGCAUACCCAGAGGACCUGAAGCGGGAGCUUGCUCAAUACAACCCCAGCCCCCUGACAGAGGAGUCCUUCCUCAAGUUCUAGCAAUGCUUUGCCUCUGUUUCAUUCCCAGAAAGCCUUGCU
Molecule: RNA transcript, 180 nt
Organism: Homo sapiens (human)
Lineage: Eukaryota; Metazoa; Chordata; Mammalia; Primates; Hominidae
Gene: SCGB2B3P
Gene name: secretoglobin family 2B member 3, pseudogene
Exons: 1
Source: RefSeq, marked provisional